CCUCCUUAAACGAAGCCGAAUGCUUCGGUCAGAGUCCACACGAAUUACUUGGUUGGCUAAUAAAGAGAGCAGAUGGGUCUUUGCAGGCCCGUACGAUUGGGUCUGUAGCUCAGGUGGUUAGAGCGCACCCCUGAUAAGGGUGAGGUCGGUGGUUCAAGUCCACCCAGACCCACCAAAAUCGUCCAGCUCGGCGUUAUCGACUGACUUGCAUAGCAGGCUAUGCAGCGCCCAUCGAUGCCUUGAUCUGAACGAUUUCUUAGCCUGAGAGUCCAAGCACGAUCGGGUUUGGAAGAUAGCUUUAAAUGGGGCUAUAGCUCAGCUGGGAAANCGCCUGCCUUGCACGCAGGAGGUCAGCAGUUUCGAUCCUGCUUAACUCCCCCAUUAGCUGCCUGACUGGCAAGCACCCGAAAAAAACUAGCUGAAUGCUUUCCCAUUGGGAAGUGUCAGUGUACA
Molecule: unclassified non-coding RNA, 453 nt
Filed under: uncultured Marinobacter sp.
Lineage: Bacteria; Pseudomonadati; Pseudomonadota; Gammaproteobacteria; Pseudomonadales; Marinobacteraceae
Description: partial 16S-23S ribosomal RNA intergenic spacer
Rfam family: tRNA (bases 99-172)
Source: RNAcentral